RNAcentral lists this small RNA (303 nucleotides) under Arabidopsis thaliana (thale cress). Its description in RNAcentral is "ATSL159890". Lineage: Eukaryota; Viridiplantae; Streptophyta; Magnoliopsida; Brassicales; Brassicaceae. The record is from RNAcentral.
CUCAAGGGAUGAGAGAAGAGGCACGCACAAAAACGCUCUCAACUUCAGGCUAUCAAAAACGCUCUGACUUUGAAGGCAAAAACACUUAUUUUCAUAUUCUAGAACACUUGUACGAUCAAAUCAUUACUUUCUCAUUAAUACAAUCAAGAACACCGUCCGCGGUAAUUGAGAAUUCUGUUGUUCUUUGAGAAUCUCACAAAGAUUCGUUCUUUGAAGAAACCCUUAAAACAAUUUCUAUUGUGCGAGUUUUUACUCUCACGGGUGGUGAAAUUUAUCUUUGCAGAUUCAAAGGUAACAAUUAUU